RNAcentral lists this ribosomal RNA (253 nucleotides) under uncultured bacterium. RNAcentral describes it as "partial 16S ribosomal RNA". It matches the Rfam family "Bacterial small subunit ribosomal RNA", at positions 524 to 776 of the family's 1533-position model. The record is from RNAcentral.
UACAGGGGGGGCAAGCGUUGUUCGGAAUUACUGGGCGUAAAGGGUUCGUAGGUGGCCAACUAAGUCAGACGUGAAAUCCCUCAGCUUAACUGGGGAACUGCGUCUGAUACUGGAUGGCUUGAGUGUAGGAGAGGAAUGCGGAAUUCCAGGUGUAGCGGUGAAAUGCGUAGAUAUUGGGAGGAACACCAGUGGCGAAGGCGACUCACUGGACCGGUACUGACGCUGAUGCGCGAAAGCGUGGGGAGCAAACAGG